CCUACGGGAGGCUGCCGUGGGGAAUAUUGCGCAAUGGGCGAAAGCCUGACGCAGCGACGCCGCGUGAGGGAUGAAGGUCUUCGGAUCGUAAACCUCUGUCAGCAGGGAAGAACGGUCACUGUGCUAAUCAGCAGUGAAUUGACGGUACCUGCAAAGGAAGCACCGGCUAACUCCGUGCCAGCAGCCGCGGUAAUACGGAGGGUGCGAGCGUUAAUCGGAAUUACGGGGCGUAAAGCGCUCGUAGGCGGUAUGUCAAGUCAAGGGUGAAAUCCCCGCGCUCAACGUGGGAACUGCCUUUGAAACGGGCAAACUGGAGUGUGGGAGAGGACAGUGGAAUUCCAGGUGUAGGAGUGAAAUCCGUAGAUAUCUGGAGGAACAUCAGUGGCGAAGGCGACUAUCUGGAACAUAACUGACGCUGAGGAGCGAAAGCGUGGAUAGCAAACAGGAUUAGAUACCCCUGUAGUC
RNAcentral lists this ribosomal RNA (465 nucleotides) under uncultured bacterium. RNAcentral describes it as "partial 16S ribosomal RNA". It matches the Rfam family "Bacterial small subunit ribosomal RNA", at positions 338 to 795 of the family's 1533-position model. The record is from RNAcentral.